RNAcentral lists this transfer RNA (86 nucleotides) under Nanobdellota archaeon. RNAcentral's name for it is "Nanoarchaeota archaeon tRNA-Leu". It matches the Rfam family "tRNA". From Rfam's summary of the family: Transfer RNA (tRNA) molecules are approximately 80 nucleotides in length. Lineage: Archaea; Nanobdellati; Nanobdellota. The record is from RNAcentral.
GCGGGGGUGGCAGAGCCUGGUCAAAUGCGUUAGCUUCAGAGGCUAAUCCCUUAGCGGGUACGCAGGUUCGAAUCCUGCCCCCCGCA